GCCUUUCAGAUUCCUUACUUAUCAGAGCUACACAGUGGUCUGAGUGGUUAUAAAAGUACGAAAACUAAUAUUGAGACCUAUUUAAACAGAUUUCUUUUGUGAUAUAUGAGCUAGUUUCUCAUAUAU
Molecule: small nucleolar RNA, 126 nt
Filed under: Echinops telfairi (small Madagascar hedgehog)
Lineage: Eukaryota; Metazoa; Chordata; Mammalia; Afrosoricida; Tenrecidae
Description: Small nucleolar RNA SNORA61 (ENSETEG00000026926.1)
Source: RNAcentral